GUUUCCUAUUGAGCAAUUCAAAUAAUCCAGGAUUUUUCUUGUGGGCAGUGCACAGAAAUUGAUCAAGAACAUAAAGAAGAUGGUUUACCAACAGAAAAAUUAAGUGGCAUUAGACAUUGUGUGAAAGAGAUGAUCUUCCCCCAGAAUACCCAAAAUGGCUCCUGUCAAGUCUAAUGACUGUUUCUGUUAAAUGUGCUUCAUAUUACCACAUAUUUUUUUUAAUCAUAAAAUAUGGGUGCUUAUAAAAUAGACUGCAUAUAGGAAUGAGUGACAAAACAAAAUAAAAUACUAAGUCCUUACCAUCUGUUUUCUUUGAUUCACUUCCCACACCAGAUUGAUCUUUUUUGUCUGCCAUACAGUCUUCCUUUAUUUCACCAUUCUGGACAUGUUUCUCUUCUCUCGCUGCGUGAUGAGAAUCCAUUCCCUUAUCUGUCCUAGGAGCACUUUUUCCUUGAGAGGCUUCGUGUCUGGUCACUCCAGUUUGCCCUGUCCCAUUUAUGUGGGAAUUCUCAUUGGAAUCUGAACUUUUGUUUUCCCCAGGAUUUGGUUCUUUGCUGUUCUCCAUCUUUGCUGCUGUGUCAUCUUCAGUUGGCUUCUCAUCCUUUUCAUCUGUUUUCUUUUCAUCUGUUCCCUGAUGAACACUUUCCUCUGCUUCUUUCUUAGCUUUUUCUUCUUUGGUGGCUUGUGCUUUCCAUUUCUCCCGGUUCUGCUGCACCACCUCAGUCCAGGUGGCUUUAAAACAUUUGAAGUCCACAGUGAGUAUGGAGCAGUUGAGUGAGGC
RNAcentral lists this long non-coding RNA (781 nucleotides) under Gallus gallus (chicken). Lineage: Eukaryota; Metazoa; Chordata; Aves; Galliformes; Phasianidae. The record is from RNAcentral.